RNAcentral lists this long non-coding RNA (391 nucleotides) under Linum usitatissimum (flax). Its description in RNAcentral is "long non-coding RNA (LUSI_LNC002663)". The record is from RNAcentral. Lineage: Eukaryota; Viridiplantae; Streptophyta; Magnoliopsida; Malpighiales; Linaceae.
AGAUUGAACAUUCCUCUCUCAAUCCCUUCCGCCGUGCACCGAACCGAGAAUCCUCCGCCUCCCUGGCUCCGUACAACGCUAUGAGAAGAAUGAGUAGUCGUGCGAGCCAAUUGUUUAAUCGGGCAGAAUCCAUCGGUUAAUCUGAAAUGGAUUCUGUUGGUAGGAAGAAAUGGAGGGAGGGAGCGCAAGAAACAUGAAGAGUUCGGUGAGUAGGAAGAGUUGGGGAGGGAUUUUGCCGCCAUUGCUGCCGCUUUGGCCUGGCAGAGGAAGGUUAACAGAGCAGAAAGGAGUGGAAAAUAAACAAAUGGAAGGCUCUGUUUGUUCUUUAUUUAUAUUCAAAAAAAUAAAUCUGAAUAUAUUUUAUUGGUUAGAGGAGGAGGGUUGGUCUGGU